GCCGUCGUAGCUCAGUGGUAGAGCACCGCCAUGGUAAGGCGGGGGUCCCGGGUUCAAAUCCCGGCGACGGCUCCA
This 75-nucleotide transfer RNA is filed under the name bacterium. RNAcentral describes it as "tRNA-Thr". It matches the Rfam family "tRNA". From Rfam's summary of the family: Transfer RNA (tRNA) molecules are approximately 80 nucleotides in length. RNAcentral also lists the same sequence under 1 other name. The record is from RNAcentral.